CGCUGGCGGCGUGCUUAACACAUGCAAGUCGAACGGUGAAGGGGAGCUUGCUCCCCGGAUCAGUGGCGAACGGGUGAGUAACACGUGGGCAACCUGCCCCAGACUUCGGGAUAACGCUUCGAAAGAGGUGCUAAUACCGGAUACGAACUCCUUGGGCAUCCCGGGAGUUGGAAAGUUUUUCGGUCUGGGAUGGGCCCGCGGCCUAUCAGCUUGUUGGUGAGGUAACGGCUCACCAAGGCGACGACGGGUAGCCGGCCUGAGAGGGCGACCGGCCACACUGGGACUGAGACACGGCCCAGACUCCUACGGGAGGCAGCAGUGGGGAAUAUUGCGCAAUGGGCGAAAGCCUGACGCAGCAACGCCGCGUGAGGGAUGACGGCCUUCGGGUUGUAAACCUCUUUCAGCAGGGAAGAAGCGAAAGUGACGGUACCUGCAGAAGAAGCACCGGCUAACUACGUG
Molecule: ribosomal RNA, 459 nt
Filed under: uncultured bacterium
Lineage: Bacteria
Description: bacterial SSU rRNA
Rfam family: Bacterial small subunit ribosomal RNA
Source: RNAcentral